This 218-nucleotide ribosomal RNA is filed under the name uncultured bacterium. RNAcentral's name for it is "partial 16S ribosomal RNA". It matches the Rfam family "Bacterial small subunit ribosomal RNA", at positions 524 to 735 of the family's 1533-position model. The record is from RNAcentral.
UACGUAGGGGGCAAGCGUUGUCCGGAUUUAUUGGGCGUAAAGAGCGUGUAGGCGGUUCGGUAGGUCCGUUGUGAAAACUCGAGGCUCCAACCUCGAGACGCCGAUGGAAACCAUCGAACUAGAGUCCGGAAAGAGGAGAGUGGAAUUCCGUGGUGUAGGCGGUGAAAUUCGUAGAUAUUAGGAAAGAACACCAGUGGCGAAGGCGGCUCGACGUGGCC